GUGCUUGCUUCGGUGGCACACACUGAAAAUCGGAAGGAUACAGAGAAGAUUAGCAUGGCCCCUGCCCAAGGAUGACAUGCAAAUUAGUGAAGCGUUCCAUAUUUUU
Small nuclear RNA from Echinops telfairi (small Madagascar hedgehog), 106 nucleotides. The record is from RefSeq and is a predicted model, not a curated record. Lineage: Eukaryota; Metazoa; Chordata; Mammalia; Afrosoricida; Tenrecidae.